This 532-nucleotide ribosomal RNA is filed under the name Janthinobacterium sp. BJB304. Its description in RNAcentral is "bacterial SSU rRNA". It matches the Rfam family "Bacterial small subunit ribosomal RNA", at positions 1000 to 1533 of the family's 1533-position model. The record is from RNAcentral. Lineage: Bacteria; Pseudomonadati; Pseudomonadota; Betaproteobacteria; Burkholderiales; Oxalobacteraceae.
CGAGAGAUUGGGGAGUGCUCGAAAGAGAACCAGUACACAGGUGCUGCAUGGCUGUCGUCAGCUCGUGUCGUGAGAUGUUGGGUUAAGUCCCGCAACGAGCGCAACCCUUGUCAUUAGUUGCUACGAAAGGGCACUCUAAUGAGACUGCCGGUGACAAACCGGAGGAAGGUGGGGAUGACGUCAAGUCCUCAUGGCCCUUAUGGGUAGGGCUUCACACGUCAUACAAUGGUACAUACAGAGCGCCGCCAACCCGCGAGGGGGAGCUAAUCGCAGAAAGUGUAUCGUAGUCCGGAUUGUAGUCUGCAACUCGACUGCAUGAAGUUGGAAUCGCUAGUAAUCGCGGAUCAGCAUGUCGCGGUGAAUACGUUCCCGGGUCUUGUACACACCGCCCGUCACACCAUGGGAGCGGGUUUUACCAGAAGUAGGUAGCUUAACCGUAAGGAGGGCGCUUACCACGGUAGGAUUCGUGACUGGGGUGAAGUCGUAACAAGGUAGCCGUAUCGGAAGGUGCGGCUGGAUCACCUCCUUUCUA